This 253-nucleotide ribosomal RNA is filed under the name uncultured bacterium. RNAcentral describes it as "partial 16S ribosomal RNA". It matches the Rfam family "Bacterial small subunit ribosomal RNA", at positions 524 to 776 of the family's 1533-position model. The record is from RNAcentral.
UACAGAGGUCUCAAGCGUUGUUCGGAAUCACUGGGCGUAAAGGGUGCGUAGGCCGCACGGUAAGUCAGAGGUGAAAUCCCGGAGCUCAACUUCGGAAUUGCCUCCGAUACUGCCGUGCUUGAGGACUGGAGAGGAGUCUGGAAUUCACAGUGGAGCAGUGAAAUGCGUAGAUAUUGUGAGGAACACUAGUGGCGAAGGCGAGACUCUGGACAGUUCCUGACGCUGAGGCGCGAAAGCGUGGGGAGCAAACGGG